This 114-nucleotide ribosomal RNA is filed under the name Pteropus alecto (black flying fox). Lineage: Eukaryota; Metazoa; Chordata; Mammalia; Chiroptera; Pteropodidae. The record is from RNAcentral.
GUCUACAGCCAUGCCACCCUGAACAAGCCCAAUCCCAUCUGAUCUUGGAAGCUAAGCAGGGUCGGGUCUGGUUAGUUACCUGGAUGGGAGACUGGGGACUGGGUGCUGUAGGCG